UCCGUGACGGAGUGAUCGAGGCGAGCAUCAACCACGAGAAAGGCUUCGUCCAAUCAAAAGAGACGAUGGACAUCUACGGGACCAGAGAGCCUCAGCUGGCUUUCCACCAGAGAAUCUCCUUCUGCCUGGACAUCCACAACAUGUCCGUCAAGGCCAUGAGGUUUCCUCCCAAAGCUUACAACAAAGACCUGGAGUCAGCAGAGGAGCGUCGGGAGCGUGAGCAGCAGGAUCUGGAGUUCGCCAAAGAAAUGGCCGAAGAUGACGACGACAGCUUCCCAUGAUUCUCUCUGCUGACUUCCUGUGCAGACAGGAAGUAGUUCCUUGUGUGUGUGAGUGUGUGAGUGUGCGCGCGUGUGUGUGUCUGCACGCUGAUGUUAGUAUAUGAGUCAUUACCCACAACCCCCCUCUCCUCCUGCUCCUCGGCUGUAACCUCUGAACUGUUUAUUGUUUCUGUCCUGAUAAAUAAAAUUCACUCUGGGUUUGUUUA
Molecule: non-coding RNA, 487 nt
Organism: Plectropomus leopardus (leopard coralgrouper)
Lineage: Eukaryota; Metazoa; Chordata; Actinopteri; Perciformes; Serranidae
Source: RefSeq, a predicted model, not a curated record